RNAcentral lists this ribosomal RNA (173 nucleotides) under Notoscopelus elongatus kroyeri. RNAcentral describes it as "partial small subunit ribosomal RNA". The record is from RNAcentral. RNAcentral also lists the same sequence under 1 other name. Lineage: Eukaryota; Metazoa; Chordata; Actinopteri; Myctophiformes; Myctophidae.
CACCGCGGUCAUACGAGUGUUAGCCCGAGCAGAUGGUCAACGGCGUAAAGAGUGGUUAGGGGCCGUACGCAACUAAAGCUAAACCCUCGCAAAGCCGUUAUACGCAUUUGAUAGCAGGAAGUUCCCCCACGAAAGUGGCUUUAACCCAACCCGAACCCACGACAGCUAGGACA